KUUUUUUGUAUUUAAUAAAGAUUAAACCUGCUCAAUGAUAAAUUAAAUAGCCGCAGUAUUUUAAUUGUGCUAAGGUAGCAUAAUCAUUUGUCUUUUAAUUGGAGGCUAGAAUGAAUGGUUUGACGAGGAAUUAACUUUCUUUAAUUUAUUAUUAUGAAUUUAAUUUAUAGGUUAAAAAGCUUAUAUACUGUUAAGGGACGAUAAGACCCUAUAGAAUUUUAUAAAAGCAUAUAUUAUUAAUUUUGGUUUAUUUAUUUAUUAAUAAUAUAUGCUUUUAUUUAAUUGGGGUGAUUUUAAAUUUUUUUUAACAUUUAUUUGUUUAGAUUCAUUUAUAUAUGAAAUGUUGAUCUGAAUAAUUUUCAAUUAUAAGAUUAAAUUACCUUAGGGAUAACAGCAUAAUUUUUUUGGAGAGUUCAUAUUGAUAGAAAAGUUUGUGA
RNAcentral lists this ribosomal RNA (437 nucleotides) under Cantacader lethierryi. RNAcentral's name for it is "partial 16S ribosomal RNA". Lineage: Eukaryota; Metazoa; Arthropoda; Insecta; Hemiptera; Tingidae. The record is from RNAcentral.